UACGUAGGGUGCGAGCGUUAAUCGGAAUUACUGGGCGUAAAGUGUGCGCAGGUGGCCGCGCAAGUCGAGUGUGAAAUCCCCCGGCUCAACCGAGGAAUUGCGCUUCAAACCGGCGUGCUUGAGGAAGAUAGAGGUGGGCGGAACUGAUGGUGGAGCGGUGAAAUGCGUUGAUAUCAUCAGGAACACCGGAGGCGAAGGCGGCCCACUGGGUCUUUUCUGACGCUGAGGGACGAAAGCUAGGGGAGCGAACGGG
Molecule: ribosomal RNA, 253 nt
Filed under: uncultured bacterium
Lineage: Bacteria
Description: partial 16S ribosomal RNA
Rfam family: Bacterial small subunit ribosomal RNA
Source: RNAcentral